CCUUAGUAACGGCGAGUGAAGCGGCAACAGCUCAAAUUUGAAAUCUGGCUCCUUCGGGGCCCGAGUUGUAAUUUGCAGAGGAUGCUUCGGGUUUGGGUUCCUUCCGAGUUCCCUGGAACGGGACGCCAUAGAGGGUGAGAGCCCCGUCUGGUAGGAAACCCAGCCCAUGUGAAGCUCCCUCGACGAGUCGAGUAGUUUGGGAAUGCUGCUCUAAGGGGAGGUAUACUCCUUCCAAGGCUAAAUACCGGCUAGAGACCGAUAGCGCACAAGUAGAGUGAUCGAAAGAUGAAAAGUACUUUGAAAAGAGAGUCAAACAGCACGUGAAAUUGUUAAAAGGGAAGCGCUCGCUACCAGACGUGGGUUCGGUGGUUCAACCAGGUCCAUGACCUGGGGCACUCCGCCGGCCCAGGCCAGCAUCAGCUUUCCGUCGGGGGCAAAGGCGUCGGGAAUGUGGCUCUCCUUCGGGGGAGUGUUAUAGCCCGUCGCGUCAUACCCUUCGGGGGGCUGAGGUACGCGCUCCGCAAGGAUGCUGGCGUAAUGGUAGCUAGUGACCCGUCUUGAAACACGGACCAAGGAGUCAACCUUAUGUGCGAGUGCCCGGGCGUAAAACCCCAGCGCGGAAUGAAAGUGAACGUAGGUGAGAGCUUCGGCGCAUCACCGACCGAUCCUGAUGUCCUCGGACGGAUUUGAGUGAGAGCAUAUAGGGUUGGACCCGAAAGAAGAUGAACUAUGCGUGUGUAGGGUGAAGCCAGAGGAAACUCUGGUGGAGGCUCGCAGCGGUUCUGACGUGCAAAUCGAUCGUCAAACAUGCGCAUGGGGGCGAAAGACUAAUCGAAUCUUCUGGUAGCUGGUUUCCGCCGAAGUUUCCCUCAGGAUAGCAGUGUUGAUCCCAGUUUUAUGAGGUAAAGCGAAUGAUUAGGGACUCGGGGGCGCUAUUUAGCCUUCAUCCAUUCUCAAACUUUAAAUAUGUAAGAAGUCCCCGUUACUUUAUUGAACGCGGACGCUGGAAUGAAACAACACUAGUGGGCCAUUUUUGGUAAGCAGAACUGGCGAUGCGGGAUGAACCGAACGCGAGGUUAAGGUGCCGGAGUGGACGCUCAUCAGACACCACAAAAGGUGUUAGUACAUCUUGACAGCAGGACGGUGGCCAUGGAAGUCGGAAUCCGCUAAGGACUGUGUAACAACUCACCUGCCGAAUGUACUAGCCCUGAAAAUGGAUGGCGCUCAAGCGUCCCACCCAUACCUCGCCCUCGGCGCGGGCUCGGCGCGUCGAGGAGUAGGCGGACGUGGAGGUCGGUGACGAAGCCUAGGACGUGAGUCCGGGUGGAACGGCCUCUAGUGCAGAUCUUGGUGGUAGUAGCAAAUACUUCAAUGAGAACUUGAAGGACCGAAGUGGGGAAAGGUUCCAUGUGAACAGCGGUUGGACGUGGGUCAGUCGAUCCUAAGCUAUAGGGAAGUUCCGUUUCAAAGGGGCGCUUUUGCCCCGUAUAGCGAAAGGGAAGCUGGUUAAUAUUCCAGCACCUGGAUGUGGGUUUUGCGCGGCAACGCAACCGAACGCGGAGACGACGGCGGGGGCCCCGGGAAGAGUUCUCUUUUCUUCUUAACGAUCUAUCACCCUGGAAUCGGUUUGUCCGGAGAUAGGGUUCAACGGUCGGAAGAGCCCAGCGCUUCUGCUGGGUCCGGUGCGUCCUCGACGUCCCUUGAAAAUCCGCGGGAGGGAAUAAUUCUCACGCCAGGUCGUACUCAUAACCGCAGCAGGUCUCCAAGGUGAACAGCCUCUGGUUGAUAGAACAAUGUGGAUAAGGGAAGUCGGCAAAACAGAUCCGUAACUUCGGGAAAAGGAUUGGCUCUAAGGAUCGGGCGCGUUGGGCCUUGAAUAGACGGUUCGGCGGCGGGAGGUCACUAGCUGGGCAACCAGCCGGAGGCUCCCUGCUGCUGGGCUCGACGCUCUUGGCAGGCUUCGGCCGUCCGGCGCGCGUUUAACGAUCAACUUAGAACUGGCGCGGACAGGGGGAAUCUGACUGUCUAAUUAAAACAUAGCAU
RNAcentral lists this ribosomal RNA (2043 nucleotides) under Verticillium zaregamsianum. RNAcentral describes it as "eukaryotic LSU rRNA". It matches the Rfam family "Eukaryotic large subunit ribosomal RNA", at positions 78 to 2159 of the family's 3401-position model. The record is from RNAcentral. Lineage: Eukaryota; Fungi; Ascomycota; Sordariomycetes; Glomerellales; Plectosphaerellaceae.